RNAcentral lists this ribosomal RNA (460 nucleotides) under uncultured bacterium. RNAcentral describes it as "partial 16S ribosomal RNA". It matches the Rfam family "Bacterial small subunit ribosomal RNA", at positions 338 to 795 of the family's 1533-position model. The record is from RNAcentral.
CCUACGGGAGGCAGCAGUGAGGAAUAUUGGUCAAUGGACGAGAGUCUGAACCAGCCAAGUAGCGUGAAGGAUGAAUGCCCUAUGGGUUGUAAACUUCUUUUAUAUGGGAAUAAAAUGUUCCACGUGUGGGAUUUUGUAUGUACCAUAUGAAUAAGGAUCGGCUAACUCCGUGCCAGCAGCCGCGGUAAUACGGAGGAUCCGAGCGUUAUCCGGAUUUAUUGGGUUUAAAGGGAGCGUAGGUGGGUUGUUAAGUCAGUUGUGAAAGUUUGCGGCUCAACCGUACAAUUGCAGUUGAAACUGGCAGUCUUGAGUACAGUAGAGGUGGGCGGAAUUCGUGGUGUAGCGGUGAAAUGCGUAGAUAUCACGAAGAACUCCGAUGGCGAAGGCAGCUCGCUGGACUGCAACUGACACUGAGGCUCGAAAGUGUGGGUAUCAAACAGGAGUAGAUACCCGGGUAGUC